GUCUUAAUAGGAAAAUAUUAAGUCCAAUCUGCUCACUGAAAUUUAAAGAGCCGCAGUAUUUUGACUGUGCAAAGGUAGCAUAAUCAAUAGUUUUUUAAUUGGAAGCUUGAAUGAAAGAUUAGAUGAAAAGUUAAUUUUCUUUAAUAUAAAAAUUGAAUUUAAAUUUUAAGUGAAAAUUCUUAAAUAAAAUUAAAAGACGAGAAGACCCUAUAGAUUUUUAUUGAUUAAUAAAUAUAAUUUAUUUUUUAAUUAAUUUAGUUGGGGUGAUGAUGUAAAAUAAUAAACUUAAUGUAAAAACACCAGCGAUAAAUGAAUUUUUGGAUCUAAAAAUUUUAAUUGAAAGAAUAAAUUACCUUAGGGAUAACAGCGUAAUUUUAUUUAAGAGUUCAUAUCUAUAAUAAAGUUUGCGACCUCGAUGUUGAAUUAAAGAUGGUAUUGAAGUAGAAAGUAAUAUUAUUAGUCUGUUCGACUAUUUAAAUUU
Molecule: ribosomal RNA, 481 nt
Filed under: Epipsocus sp. MY
Lineage: Eukaryota; Metazoa; Arthropoda; Insecta; Psocodea; Epipsocidae
Description: partial 16S ribosomal RNA
Source: RNAcentral